GGCUUCCCUGUAUACAGACAGAGUCAUACUCCCUCCAUAAUGUAGUACGGUUUUUGACACUACUACAUUAUGGGACGGAGGGAGUACAUUG
This 91-nucleotide microRNA precursor is filed under the name Hordeum vulgare. RNAcentral's name for it is "miR1436 stem-loop (hvu-MIR1436)". Lineage: Eukaryota; Viridiplantae; Streptophyta; Magnoliopsida; Poales; Poaceae. The record is from miRBase by way of RNAcentral.